Molecule: ribosomal RNA, 253 nt
Filed under: uncultured bacterium
Lineage: Bacteria
Description: partial 16S ribosomal RNA
Rfam family: Bacterial small subunit ribosomal RNA
Source: RNAcentral
GACGAACCGUGCGAACGUUGUUCGGAAUCACUGGGCUUAAAGGGCGCGUAGGCGGUUUGCCAAGUCAGGGGUGAAAUCCUGCAGCUCAACUGUAGAAGUGCCUUUGAUACCGGCGAGCUCGAGGGAGGUAGGGGUGCGUGGAACUUCUGGUGGAGCGGUGAAAUGCGUUGAUAUCAGAAGGAACGCCGGUGGCGAAAGCGACGCACUGGACCUUUUCUAACGCUGAGGCGCGAAAGCCAGGGGAGCAAACGGG